GACGAACGCUGGCGGCGUGCCUAACACAUGCAAGUCGAACGGGACCGGGGGCAACUCUGGUUCAGUGGCGGACGGGUGCGUAACACGUGAGGAACAUGACCUUCGGCGGGGGAGUAGCCGGCCCAACCGGCCGGGUAAGUACCGCGUACGACCACAUGGGGACGAUCCCUCGAGUGGUGAAAGACAGCAAUGCGCCGAUGGAGUGCCUCGCGGCCUAUCAGCUAGUUGGUGAGGUAACGGCUCACCAAGGCGACGACGGGUAGCUGGUCUGAGAGGAUGGCCAGCCACAUUGGGACUGAGACACGGCCCAGACUCCUACGGGAGGCAGCAGUGGGGAAUAUUGCGCAAUGGACGAAAGUCUGACGCAGCGACGCCGCGUGUGGGA
RNAcentral lists this ribosomal RNA (385 nucleotides) under uncultured bacterium. RNAcentral's name for it is "bacterial SSU rRNA". It matches the Rfam family "Bacterial small subunit ribosomal RNA", at positions 28 to 408 of the family's 1533-position model. The record is from RNAcentral.